UACGUAGGGGGCAAGCGUUGUCCGGAAUCAUUGGGCGUAAAGAGCGUGUAGGCGGCUCGAUAAGUCCGUUCUGAAAGUCCAGGGCUCAACCCUGGGUUGCGGAUGGAUACUGUCGGGCUCGAGUCCGGAAGAGGCGAGUGGAAUUCCCGGUGUAGCGGUGAAAUGCGCAGAUAUCGGGAGGAACACCAAUGGCGAAGGCAGCUCGCUGGGACGUUACUGACGCUGAGACGCGAAAGCGUGGGGAGCAAACAGG
This 253-nucleotide ribosomal RNA is filed under the name uncultured bacterium. RNAcentral describes it as "partial 16S ribosomal RNA". It matches the Rfam family "Bacterial small subunit ribosomal RNA", at positions 524 to 776 of the family's 1533-position model. The record is from RNAcentral.